RNAcentral lists this ribosomal RNA (425 nucleotides) under uncultured bacterium. Its description in RNAcentral is "partial 16S ribosomal RNA". It matches the Rfam family "Bacterial small subunit ribosomal RNA", at positions 354 to 796 of the family's 1533-position model. The record is from RNAcentral.
GUUAGGAAUAUUGGACAAUGGGCGCAAGCCUGAUCCAGCCAUGCCGCGUGAGUGAUGAAGGCCUUCGGGUUGUAAAGCUCUUUAGUCCACGAAUAUAAUGACUGUAGUGGAAGAAUAAGCCCCGGCUAACUUCGUGCCAGCAGCCGCGGUAAUACGAAGGGGGCGAGCGUUAUUCGGAAUCACUGGGCGUAAAGCGUGCGUAGGCUGUUUUGUAAGUCAGAAGUGAAAGCCCAGGGCUUAACCCUGGAAUUGCUUUUGAAACUACAAGACUCGAAUUCGGGAGAGGAUAGCGGAAUUGUCAGUGUAGCAGUGAAAUGCGUAGAUAUUGACAGGAACACCAGUGGCGCAAGCGGCUAUCUGGACCGAUAUUGACGCUGAGGCACGAAAGCGUGGGGAGCAAACAGGAUUAGAAACCCGUGUAGUCC